Molecule: long non-coding RNA, 756 nt
Organism: Columba livia (rock pigeon)
Lineage: Eukaryota; Metazoa; Chordata; Aves; Columbiformes; Columbidae
Exons: 3
Source: RefSeq, a predicted model, not a curated record
GGAACAACGUGGCCUUCACCUGAGGAACGUCAGGCUUCACACAUGAGUUUCCCACAUGGGUUUGCACAAUAUACUGGCCAAACACUGAAAGCAGCCCAGAGGCUGGAUGUUCUGCAGGGCCAGCCUGAGCAUGGAGAGACUAGAUGUCACCUUCAUGGCCUGAGCUUCCUAUUGAAAGUAUCUUGGAAAGAGACAGAUGCACAUACAGUCUUCAUAAACAAUAAGUAUUGAAUUAAUAAACUAUAAGAAUUCAUGGGCAGGAUGGGAUUAGGAAGGGAACGUGAAGUUUGGAGGGAAUCUAACUUCAACAAAUAUGAAUAGACAGGCAAAAAAUGUAUGGUUAGAAGGUAUUACGAUAGGCCAGUUUAGGGGAUACAUUGUGAAGGAAAAAAGGGAUAUCUUGAAACUCAUAAACUGAAGUCUUUAAGUCAUCAACUAACUUGAAUUUAACAUCCUUAGUCUAACCAAACACCCUUUUCUUGUUAUCUAGCACCAGACAUUAGAUUUCAUAAAUCUUACAAGAACUCUUCAACCUCGUCAGCCCUUCCUGAGUUUGACUCUUGCUCUGAUUUACAUUUUUAGGUCAGACAGCUGUUCUACUACUUGCUUGACCCAGAGGAUAAUAUAAGGCUAUGGGUGCUACUUGGUCCUGAGCACAGACAAAGCCUGAAACAACCACAGCUGAAUCUUCUAUUUCACACCCUGCUUUCAGUAAAAGGUGAAGAGCCAGACUGAAUAGUGAAGACAGUCAAAGAC